GACGAACGCUGGCGGCGUGCUUAACACAUGCGAGUCGAGCGGUAAGGCUCCUUCGGGCGUACACGAGCGGCGAACGGGUGAGUAACACGUGCGUAAUCUGCCCUUCACUUCGGGAUAACCACCGGAAACGGCGGCUAAUACCGAAUACGACCAGUCUUCGCAUGAGGUGCUGGUGGAAAGUCUUUUCGGUGAUGGAUGUGCUCGCGGCCUAUCAGCUUGUUGGUGGGGUAAUGGCCUACCAAGGCGUCGACGGGUAGCCGGGCUGAGAGGGUGACCGGCCACACUGGGACCGAGACACGGCCGAGACGCCGACGGGAGGCAGCAGUGGGGAAGAUUGGACAAUGGGCGAAAGCCUGAUCCAGCAGCGCCGCGUGAGGGAUGACGGCCUUCGGGUUGUAAACCUCGUUCAGUACCGUCGAAGCGCCCUGGCGGGUGGUGACGGUAGGUACAGAAGAAGGACCGGCCAACUACGUG
This 474-nucleotide ribosomal RNA is filed under the name uncultured bacterium. RNAcentral describes it as "partial 16S ribosomal RNA". It matches the Rfam family "Bacterial small subunit ribosomal RNA", at positions 28 to 507 of the family's 1533-position model. The record is from RNAcentral.